This 448-nucleotide ribosomal RNA is filed under the name uncultured bacterium. Its description in RNAcentral is "partial 16S ribosomal RNA". It matches the Rfam family "Bacterial small subunit ribosomal RNA", at positions 328 to 793 of the family's 1533-position model. The record is from RNAcentral.
GACCCAGACUCCUACGGGAGGCAGCAGUGGGGGAUAUUGCACAAUGGGGGGAACCCUGAUGCAGCGACGCCGCGUGGGUGAAGAAGCGCCUCGGCGCGUAAAGCCCUGUCAGCAGGGAAGAAAAUGGCGGUACCUGAAGAAGAAGCCCCGGCUAACUACGUGCCAGCAGCCGCGGGAAUACGUAGGGGGCAAGCGUUAUCCGGAUUUACUGGGUGUAAAGGGGGCGCAGGCGGCAGCGCAAGCCAGGAGUGAAAGCCCGGGGCCCAACCCCGGGACUGCUCUUGGAACUGCGCGGCUGGAGUGCAGGAGGGGCAGGCGGAAUUCCUGGUGUAGCGGUGAAAUGCGUAGAUAUCAGGAGGAACACCGGUGGCGAAGGCGGCCUGCUGGACUGCGACUGACGUUGAGGCCCGAAAGCGUGGGGAGCAAACAGGAUUAGAUACCCGGGUAU